This 2533-nucleotide long non-coding RNA is filed under the name Phaseolus vulgaris (common bean). RNAcentral describes it as "long non-coding RNA (PVUL_LNC005324)". Lineage: Eukaryota; Viridiplantae; Streptophyta; Magnoliopsida; Fabales; Fabaceae. The record is from RNAcentral.
CCAACUUUCCCAAAUGCUUGAUAAACCCUACGUUUCCAACUUUUUCAAAUGCUUGAUAAACCCUACGUUCCCAUCCUACGUUCAAAAUACCUCAAACCUUUGAGAUCUGAAAAUCAAGAACAAGCUUACACCUACUCGUGCUCGCGAUUCUUCUUCCAAUUUACGCGUACUCGUGCUCGGUAGCUGCGGUUCGUUCACCUACAAUUUAUUUUUCCUUUGAUUUCAUUCUUCUACGGUUCUUCUAAAAAAUAAGGUUAGGGUUUUAUUGUAAUUUCUAUUCCAUCUUCCUGCACUCUGCUCCUCAAUGAGUUGUGGUCUGUGAUUCAUUCUGUAUUGUUGUACUGCUGUCAUGUUUCAGGUAGUGGGAGUUCUGGAGCUAGAUGGCCUCAAUCACAAUGGCUUGUGGUAAGUAAUCUAUUUAUGAGUAAUUGUUCUAUUCUAUAAGCAUUUUAUCAGUUUUUAAUUGUGCCUUUAGAAAUAUUUGGAUAUUCAAAUCGUUACUUGAUCCGUAUUUGAUUAUGUUUUUAGAAGUUUUUAAUUGGUUGCUUAAUUUGAUUCACUCUGAGCAAUUGAUCUUUGUUACCGCUCCUCUUCUUGAUUUGGAAAAGGUUCCCACUAUUCUAUUAUAUUAUAAUAGCAAUUGCUUAAUGUUUUCAGAUUGCAACCGUGAAAUCAAUCAUAACUUCCAAAUUAUUUUAUCUUUGGCUCUAUCGCUACCAGCGCGUCGAGGAAUGGAAAAUGCUCAAAAGAGGGUUCCACAAUCCUCAACUUGAGGUGCAUCGAUGUCCAGGUUACCUCUUCUUCCACUUUUUAAACCAAAAAAACUAUUAGGUUUGGCAAACCAUGCUCAUGGCGUGCACCAUCGACUAUUGUUGCGCUGCCUUUAAGUUAACAUUUACGUAUUUUAGCUUUAUAUCUACCAAAAGGAGCCUAGCUAAAAACCUCUGUAUCUUACCCCACUGGAACUCUCUUUCUUCAUAACCGCGACUGCCGCAGUCACCGAAUUGCCAAUAAGGCCUCUUUUAAGAAACCUAUUCUUGGUGGGUCUUACACACUCAAUCACUCUCUGUUCUAUCUUUUGAUUAUUUAUUUUUGGUUUUAUCUUAUAGUCUAUAUACAUUUUCUUUUGAAUCACAAAGGUUGAACCGCUGAAUAGAAUUUUAUAAUCAGGCAGUAUAAAAUGAGUUAUGACUUGUUAAAUUUCUAUUAUGAGUUUUUGUUUGAAUUUGGAUCUUAAGUUGUGACAUUAAAAUUAUGAAUUUUUUCAUUUGUUUUAAAAUGACAUUUAUAUUGUUUUUACGCACAUGUACAAGUGUUUUAGUAGGAGAAUGUAGGAUCAUAAUAUGAUGCCCAAGUCAGGAGUUUUUGCCACUUCCUGAUCUUACGUAGAAUCCCUUGACGCCCUUAUGCAUGAGUCAGUACCCUAAGUUAACAAAUUUAUUACGUCUUUGAAAAUCUGUGCAUCAAACAAGUAAGAAUUAUAAUCCUAAUCUGUGAACAAUUCAAGAACGUCAUUUUUAUUUUUUUUCAAUUUCAGAAGUUAUGCAUCUAUAUAACAACUGUUUCAUUGUAUUAUAUGUUAUUUGUUAAGAGAGGAAAGAUAGGAGAAAACUGGAGUGAUGGUACACUAUAAUGUCUUGUCUUCAAAACUGUAAUUAGAAAUUAGUUAUCAUACUGGUGUGGAAGUUGGAAGAUUAAAUGUAUGUGAUGUUGUCAAUUUGUAAUUGUUGAGAUGUUUUACUAUUUUUCUUAGAUGAAUCAUGCCAUCGCAUUGUGACUGUUGUUAAGAGGUUGGAUAUCUCAGUAAUGCCAUUGUGGCUUCUUUAUUGCUCAUACAUUUGAAUUUUUUGUUAGGCAUAAUUAGUAUAAUGCUCAUACAUUUGAAUUUUCUAUCAAGCAUAAAUAGUAUAAUGCUUUUCCUUUGAAUUCUAGUGCUAAUCUCAACAUGUAGUGUCAGGCUGUUGCUCUGCUUUGGAGUUUGAAUAGCUGAAACUAAUUGGCUUUGAAGGACAAGAAGGUGAACUUAUUUUUGAUGAUAUUUUCAUGGUUGAGAAUGUAGACCCGGAUGGUAAAAAGUAUGACAACGGUACGAGCACCUCUUAUUUCUUUGUAUCAUUUCAUUUCAUUUUUUUUAAAGAUCAAUCUACUUUAUAGUAUGGGUCCCUUGGAUAUGCAAAGCUAUCUUAUUGAGUUGAUAAUGUGAUAUUAAUACUUGGGAGAAGUAGUGUUGUAUGAUUUUUAACUUGAAAGUUGCCUCAACACGAAUAAUCGAUUAUUAGAAACUAUGACUCUAUUCUUUUUAUUGUUAGCGCUGUGGUAUUUUAUUAUUAUCUGAAAUCAUAAUGGGUUUUCAGAUUGAUAAAUAAAAUGUUAGUUUUAUUAUCUUUGAACUAUAUUUCUAAAUUUUAAAUAAGCUUUUGCUGGUUUUCAAUAAAAUAAAAUCUUUACAGGAUUGUUUCUCACAUAGGUAUAAGUCUAACUUGACUGUAACUGGUAGAUUCUUGCAGAAUCUAGAGGAGACCUUUUACUUGAU